UGAAAAAAAUGAGGAGCAAAAAAACAGAAGAGAAUAGAGCAGAAAAUCUGAAAGAGGUGGAAGAAAAUGAGGAGAAAAAAAGGAUGAUAAAGAACUCCAAAAUGAGUAAGAAGAGGUAUAAGAGAAAAGAAACGAUACUAAAAUUAUCUUUAAAUUCAUUCCAAACUCAAAUGGAACAACUGUAUUUAAAAAGUUGAUGAUAAUUUUUUUAUAUUUAUUUUUUAUAUACCUGAAAUCAGGAACUCUAUUCUUACCUUUGCUGUUGCUGCUGCUGCUGGUUUUGUUUUUUUCUGUGUUUGUUGCUGCAAACAAUGAAUUUCCACAACCCAUGUUUUCCGAAAACAGGAGAUUAAAAUAAUGAGAAAAAGCAACGCAGAUAGAAAAAAAUUUAAUAAAUCCUUGGCUUAAAUUCCCUUUUCAUUCCCUCUCUGCUGUCACUGUGAGUCUGGAGAUGAGAUUUAACUCCAGAGAAUCAAAACAGGGAAAAGGAGGGAGCAAGAAACAGGCACCACCUUCUCAUUCUCUUUCUCCUCCUCCUCCGCCACCUUCCAUAUGAAUGUCUUGGUCUCAUUCAGAGUUGGUGUGAAGUGGAUACUAAAUCACUGGACUGUGAUGUGAACCUUCAUCCUGCCAUAACUGCGUUUCUUUUCGGAAUCCAGUCGCGGGCCAGAUUUGACCGUACAGUGGAUUUGCCCUAGAGCCGCCAGUUGAUGGUCAAUGAUGUAGAGAAUAAACCUCCCAAUAUUCCACCACACGGAAUCUAAUAAUAACCUGAAAGAGGA
Cynoglossus semilaevis (tongue sole) is the source of this 782-nucleotide long non-coding RNA. RefSeq lists it as uncharacterized. The transcript has 3 exons. The record is from RefSeq and is a predicted model, not a curated record. NCBI's taxonomy places the organism in Eukaryota, Metazoa, Chordata, Actinopteri, Pleuronectiformes, Cynoglossidae.